UACGGGGGGAGCAAGCGUUGUUCGGAUUUACUGGGCGUAAAGGGCGCGUAGGCGGUCAGCACAAGUCAGUUGUGAAAUCUCCGGGCUUAACUCGGAAAGGUCAACUGAUACUGUGCGACUAGAGUGCAGAAGGGGCAACUGGAAUUCUCGGUGUAGCGGUGAAAUGCGUAGAUAUCGAGAGGAACACCUGCGGCGAAGGCGGGUUGCUGGGCUGUUCUUGACGCUGAGGCGCGAAAGCUAGGGUAGCAAACGGG
This 254-nucleotide ribosomal RNA is filed under the name uncultured bacterium. RNAcentral describes it as "partial 16S ribosomal RNA". It matches the Rfam family "Bacterial small subunit ribosomal RNA", at positions 524 to 776 of the family's 1533-position model. The record is from RNAcentral.